RNAcentral lists this ribosomal RNA (253 nucleotides) under uncultured bacterium. RNAcentral describes it as "partial 16S ribosomal RNA". It matches the Rfam family "Bacterial small subunit ribosomal RNA", at positions 524 to 776 of the family's 1533-position model. The record is from RNAcentral.
UACGGGGGGGGCAAGCGUUGUUCGGAAUUACUGGGCGUAAAGGGCUCGUAGGCGGCCAACUAAGUCAGACGUGAAAUCCCUCGGCUUAACCGGGGAACGGCCUCUGAUACUGGCUGGCUGGAGUUCGGGAGAGGGAUGCGGAAUUCCAGGUGUAGCGGUGAAAUGCGUAGAUAUCAAGCGGAACACCGGUGGCGAAGGCGGCCUUCUGGACAGUGACUGACGCUGAGACGCGAAAGCGUGGGGAGCAAACAGG